Salvelinus sp. IW2-2015 is the source of this 643-nucleotide long non-coding RNA. RefSeq lists it as uncharacterized. The record is from RefSeq and is a predicted model, not a curated record. Lineage: Eukaryota; Metazoa; Chordata; Actinopteri; Salmoniformes; Salmonidae.
AGGAAGGCUGUUUGCCUGACUGCGGUGAACAGCCCGACUUUCCUCUCAAAACAGUGCAGAGGUGGAAGAUGGCUGUAACUGACUAGGUAACUUAACAGCUGUUUGACUUGAAACUAAACUCGAGAUUUGAAUUCCAGUGCUGAGCUAGUGCGUAGCAGCUAAUUGCUGUAAGACAUGUUGCUGAAGAAUGUUAUUUAUGUCCCUUAUCAACGGAGGUGAAUGAAGGUACAGCAGCCAAGGUCCCGGAUGAUCACAGAUGUCCUCUCUGUCAGACCCUCGAAAGCUGGCACCCAUUCAUCAGCUGUGGGCAAGAGACGGCCAGACAGACGUGUCAAAACGCAACAUCCGAAGAAGGCUCAGUGCCCCAUCCCUAUAUGUCAUCACAACUAGAGCUGCCUGCAUGGAUUGAGUUAGAACAUUGAUGUGCAGCUGGCCAGCAUAGCCAGCCCUGAAGGGAAGGGAUUAAUUGCAUAUGCAUUGUGCUAAUGGCUCCUGGUUCAAACCACUCUUGACAACUUAGGCCUUUGGUGUUGUCAGACUAAAACCAAAGCUUUUUAGAUAAUGGCUCAUCAUGGAAAGUGUGAUACAGCUAGCAUGAUAGAGGAUGUCGUUUUAUGUAAGAGGGUCAAGAUAAAAAUAAAAA